This 394-nucleotide ribosomal RNA is filed under the name Stenotrophomonas maltophilia. RNAcentral describes it as "bacterial SSU rRNA". It matches the Rfam family "Bacterial small subunit ribosomal RNA", at positions 352 to 738 of the family's 1533-position model. Lineage: Bacteria; Pseudomonadati; Pseudomonadota; Gammaproteobacteria; Lysobacterales; Lysobacteraceae. The record is from RNAcentral.
CAGUGGGGAAUAUUGGACAAUGGGCGCAAGCCUGAUCCAGCCAUACCGCGUGGGUGAAGAAGGCCUUCGGGUUGUAAAGCCCUUUUGUUGGGAAAGAAAUCCAGCCGGCUAAUACCUGGUUGGGAUGACGGUACCCAAAGAAUAAGCACCGGCUAACUUCGUGCCAGCAGCCGCGGUAAUACGAAGGGUGCAAGCGUUACUCGGAAUUACUGGGCGUAAAGCGUGCGUAGGUGGUUGUUUAAGUCUGUUGUGAAAGCCCUGGGCUCAACCUGGGAACUGCAGUGGAAACUGGACAACUAGAGUGUGGUAGAGGGUAGCGGAAUUCCCGGUGUAGCAGUGAAAUGCGUAGAGAUCGGGAGGAACAUCCAUGGCGAAGGCAGCUACCUGGACCAAC